UCCUACGGGGGGCAGCAGUGGGGAAUAUUGCACAAUGGGGGAAACCCUGAUGCAGCAACGCCGCGUGAGUGAUGACGGCCUUCGGGUUGUAAAGCUCUGUCUUCAGGGACGAUAAUGACGGUACCUGAGGAGGAAGCCACGGCUAACUACGUGCCAGCAGCCGCGGUAAUACGUAGGUGGCAAGCGUUGUCCGGAUUUACUGGGCGUAAAGGGAGCGUAGGCGGACUUUUAAGUGGGAUGUGAAAUACCCGGGCUUAACCUGGGUGCUGCAUUCCAAACUGGGAGUCUAGAGUGCAGGAGGGGAAAGUGGAAUUCCUAGUGUAGCGGUGAAAUGCGUAGAGAUUAGGAAGAACACCGGUGGCGAAGGCGACUUUCUGGACUGUAACUGACGCUGAGGCUCGAAAGCGUGGGGAGCGAACAGGAUUAGAUACCCUGGUAGA
This 440-nucleotide ribosomal RNA is filed under the name uncultured bacterium. RNAcentral describes it as "bacterial SSU rRNA". It matches the Rfam family "Bacterial small subunit ribosomal RNA", at positions 337 to 794 of the family's 1533-position model. The record is from RNAcentral.